Molecule: non-coding RNA, 30 nt
Filed under: Rattus norvegicus (Norway rat)
Lineage: Eukaryota; Metazoa; Chordata; Mammalia; Rodentia; Muridae
Source: RNAcentral
UGGGAUAUCUAAUUUGCACAAGAAUACUUC